This is a long non-coding RNA of Ruditapes philippinarum (Manila clam), 310 nucleotides long. RefSeq lists it as uncharacterized. The record is from RefSeq and is a predicted model, not a curated record. The transcript has 3 exons. Lineage: Eukaryota; Metazoa; Mollusca; Bivalvia; Venerida; Veneridae.
AUGUGAGUGUCUGACCUAAAGAGUUGGAAAUUGGAACUGUCAUAAUUCACAGUAGUACUUUGUCUUCAUUGAUUACAUCAUGAAAAGCUGAUAUUUUGGAAGAAUGGAUGUAUACAGCCUGUCUAGAUUUCAAAGAAAUGCUGUACAUUGGCUAUACACAUGCCAGGUUUGAAGACUUCAUGUAUAACUUGACAGGACCUGAUGUAAGCACAUUGGCCACUUUUGAUGGGUGUUGCAGAAUAUCCAGAAUGCGGCAUAACGGCGCUUGUUGCAAAAAAAGGGAACUUCAAAGUUUUAAAUGACUUAAAAG